AUAUAAAAAGUAAAUCUUUACAUUUAGUUUCGGCCUAAAAAUUGAUAUUUUUUCCAUAUCUUUAUAUU
RNAcentral lists this transfer RNA (68 nucleotides) under Megalodontes cephalotes. Its description in RNAcentral is "tRNA-Arg". Lineage: Eukaryota; Metazoa; Arthropoda; Insecta; Hymenoptera; Megalodontesidae. The record is from RNAcentral.